UCGCUAUGAUGAAAUUGAUUCCUAAGUCAUUCGUAGUUUCCACCUGAGGCUAAGGCUAAAGAAGGUAAAGUGUCCUUCCUUGGAUGUCUGAGCGA
RNAcentral lists this small nucleolar RNA (95 nucleotides) under Erpetoichthys calabaricus (reedfish). Its description in RNAcentral is "Small nucleolar RNA SNORD14 (ENSECRG00000020313.1)". It matches the Rfam family "Small nucleolar RNA SNORD14". From Rfam's summary of the family: U14 small nucleolar RNA (U14 snoRNA) is required for early cleavages of eukaryotic precursor rRNAs. Lineage: Eukaryota; Metazoa; Chordata; Cladistia; Polypteriformes; Polypteridae. The record is from Rfam by way of RNAcentral.